This 72-nucleotide transfer RNA is filed under the name Bos taurus (domestic cattle). It matches the Rfam family "tRNA". From Rfam's summary of the family: Transfer RNA (tRNA) molecules are approximately 80 nucleotides in length. Their secondary structure includes four short double-helical elements and three loops (D, anti-codon, and T loops). Further hydrogen bonds mediate the characteristic L-shaped molecular structure. tRNAs have two regions of fundamental functional importance: the anti-codon, which is responsible for specific mRNA codon recognition, and the 3' end, to which the tRNAs corresponding amino acid is attached (by aminoacyl-tRNA synthetases). tRNAs cope with the degeneracy of the genetic code in two manners: having more than one tRNA (with a specific anti-codon) for a particular amino acid; and 'wobble' base-pairing, i.e. permitting non-standard base-pairing at the 3rd anti-codon position. Lineage: Eukaryota; Metazoa; Chordata; Mammalia; Artiodactyla; Bovidae. RNAcentral also lists the same sequence under 4 other names. The record is from Rfam by way of RNAcentral.
UCCCUGGUGGCUCAACUGAUAAAGAAUCUGCUUGCAAUGCAGGAGACCUGGGUUCAAUCCCUAGGUUGGGAA